RNAcentral lists this ribosomal RNA (425 nucleotides) under uncultured bacterium. Its description in RNAcentral is "bacterial SSU rRNA". It matches the Rfam family "Bacterial small subunit ribosomal RNA", at positions 356 to 773 of the family's 1533-position model. The record is from RNAcentral.
GGGGAAUAUUGCGCAAUGGGGGAAACCCUGACGCAGCAACGCCGCGUGGAGGAUGAAGGCCUUCGGGUCGUAAACUCCUGUCAGGUGGGAAGAAUAGGUUGCAGCAAACAACUGCAACCCUUGACGGUACCACCAGAGGAAGCCCCGGCUAACUCCGUGCCAGCAGCCGCGGUAAUACGGAGGGGGCAAGCGUUAUUCGGAAUCAUUGGGCGUAAAGGGCGCGUAGGCGGCUUGGCGAGUCAAAGGUGAAAUCCCUCGGCCCAACCGAGGAACCGCCUUUGAUACUGCCUCGCUCGAGGCCGGGAGAGGGUAGCGGAAUUCCCAGUGUAGCGGUGAAAUGCGUAGAUAUUGGGAGGAACACCAGUGGCGAAGGCGGCUACCUGGACCGGUUCUGACGCUGAUGCGCGAAAGCGUGGGGAGCAAAC